This 389-nucleotide ribosomal RNA is filed under the name uncultured bacterium. Its description in RNAcentral is "bacterial SSU rRNA". It matches the Rfam family "Bacterial small subunit ribosomal RNA", at positions 29 to 419 of the family's 1533-position model. The record is from RNAcentral.
AACGAACGCUGGCGGCAUGCCUUACACAUGCAAGUCGAACGGCAGCACGGGGGCAACCCUGGUGGCGAGUGGCGAACGGGUGAGUAAUACAUCGGAACGUGUCCUGUAGCGGGGGAUAACCUCUCGAAAGAGAGGCUAAUACCGCAUACGACCUAUGGGUGAAAGAGGGGGAUCGCAAGACCUCUCACUAUUGGAGCGGCCGAUGUCGGAUUAGCUAGUUGGUGGGGUAAAAGCCUACCAAGGCUACGAUCCGUAGCUGGUCUGAGAGGACGGCCAGCCACACUGGAACUGAGACACGGUCCAGACUCCUACGGGAGGCAGCAGUGGGGAAUUUUGGACAAUGGGCGCAAGCCUGAUCCAGCCAUGCCGCGUGAGUGAAGAAGGCCUGG